GAGAUAAUAGUAUAAAAUUGCGUAUAUUUCUCUUUCGAAGAAAAGGAGUUUUAUCUUA
This 58-nucleotide transfer RNA is filed under the name Ophidascaris sp. CYZ-2020. Its description in RNAcentral is "tRNA-Glu". Lineage: Eukaryota; Metazoa; Nematoda; Chromadorea; Rhabditida; Anisakidae. The record is from RNAcentral.